RNAcentral lists this ribosomal RNA (253 nucleotides) under uncultured bacterium. Its description in RNAcentral is "partial 16S ribosomal RNA". It matches the Rfam family "Bacterial small subunit ribosomal RNA", at positions 524 to 776 of the family's 1533-position model. The record is from RNAcentral.
UACAGAGGUCUCGAGCGUUAGGCGGAAUCACUGGGCUUAAAGCGUGUGUAGGCGGGUCGUUAAGUGCCUUGUGAAAUCCCAUGGCUCAACCAUGGAACUGCUGGGCAUACUGGCGAUCUUGUGCAACCUAGGGGCGAGCGGAACAGAUGGUGGAGCGGUGAAAUGCGUAGAUAUCAUCUGGAACGCCAAUGGUGAAAACAGCUCGCUGGGGGUUUGCAGACGCUGAGACACGAAAGCCAGGGGAGCGAACGGG